GAUGAACGCUGGCGGCGUGCUUAACACAUGCAAGUCGAACGAAGCAUUUGCGACAGAUUUUUUCGGAAUGAAGUUGCUUAUGACUGAGUGGCGGACGGGUGAGUAACGCGUGGGUAACCUGCCUUGUACUGGGGGAUAGCAGCUGGAAACGGCUGGUAAUACCGCAUAAGCGCACAAUGUUGCAUGACAUGGUGUGAAAAACUCCGGUGGUAUAAGAUGGACCCGCGUCUGAUUAGCUAGUUGGUGAGAUAACAGCCCACCAAGGCGACGAUCAGUGGCCGACCGGAGAGGGUGACCGGCCACAUUGGGACUGAGACACGGCCCAGACUCCUACGGGAGGCAGCAGUGGGGAAUAUUGCACAAUGGAGGAAACUCUGAUGCAGCGACGCCGCGUGAGUGAAGAAGUAAUUCGUUAUGUAAAGCUCUAUCAGCAGGGAAGAUAGUGACGGUACCUGACUAAGAAGCUCCGGCUAAAUACGUG
RNAcentral lists this ribosomal RNA (481 nucleotides) under uncultured bacterium. Its description in RNAcentral is "partial 16S ribosomal RNA". It matches the Rfam family "Bacterial small subunit ribosomal RNA", at positions 28 to 507 of the family's 1533-position model. The record is from RNAcentral.